UUUUUUUUUACUGACGAUUGACAGGGUUUAGUGGGGUAUUUUUCUUUUCUUGUAAAAACUAUAAUAUCUAGCACUUGCCUUACUGAUACGGAUUGUAUGCUGAAAAGCUUUCCCAGAAUUUGGUUUUUACAAAAGUUGGUGACAUAUUCUAAAAUAUGCAAAGCCUUUACUAGAUAAUUUACUUUUGAUAGUGGCCUCAAUUAUUUACUGGCAAUCUGUCUUCAAAAGGUCCACUAGUACAAAAGCAGCAAACUCUUUUAGCUACUCUUUGAGAUUUCUUUCUUGAUGCUAAGGAAGACUCUCACCCUCCCAUUGACCGAGGAAAGAGUAUUUCGUCUCUAUUUACCCUUUCCUCAUGGGCUAUGCAAAAAAAUGUGAAGCCUCAUCUCUUCCCACGUGGCAGUUUUAACUACUGUUCCUGCCUCUCUGUCUCUGUAUCAGCCAACCGGGCUACAUACAGCUACUUUCCAUCCCUUUCUGCAUCACUCCUUAACCUUCAUAUCCCUGUGCUCUUCGACCCAUGUCUGCUUAGAUGGUGUGGGUAGGUGGCUCUUGGGAGCCUCUUCACAAGCAGUGAGAAAGCUACAAUGUUGGACAGUCCACCCUGCCAUAUGCAGGAAGAUGGUUUUGUCUGUAUCCUUGUUAAUUAGUGGUGCCUCUGACAGAUCAGUUACAGUUUUCUUGUGUUACACAAUGACUUAGCCAUUCAAUGCUAACUAAACUUUUCAGGUUUUAAAGUCUCAGUUCUGCUGUGGAACUCUUGCCCCUGGGCCCUGCAGUAUUUUUUGUUUGUAAAAAGAAGCUAAUUUUUGCAACACCAGUAUAAGGAGCCAAAAUUUUUUUGCUAGAUAAGUUGUUCCCUUGAACUGUAGCUAACUGUAGCUAAACUGGUUUCUUAAGAACCUUUUUUCUUAUAAAUUACUUAAAAAACUUAUCAAAGAAGCAGCUGCUGGCAAUGAUGUUGUCUCAACUCCCACAGGGAAGGAUUUCUUCUGUGAGGACAAGAAACUUAGGUAAAUUUAUGGUUAGGGUUACACAAAAUGGUUGCCUGUGACAGCACAGCAUUGAACUCACUGGACUUUCAUCAGCAAAGGCCAGGGAAAUUGUCAGCUUUGACAAUAGCAUCAAUUAGAAGUGGCGGCAUGCAGUUUUGUCGAUCCUGAGUUUCCACACUGGCUGAGCUCACCCAUGAAGCACAAACAGCUGGUGGACAACUUUUGACUUCUUUAGGAAGGGAUGUGCAUGGCGAUUUUGUAAUGGUCACACAUGGAUGUUGUAUUCAUUCUUCAUACUUGGAAGUGGCACAGACUACUUUGAAUGAAAGAAAUAAAAACCAACACACGUGCUCAAUCAGAAAACCCUGCCUAAACAGAACAAGGGAAAACUGGGACAAACCAUAAAUCAUCGCACUGGAGGAAAGUGUUCAAAAAAUGUGUAGAUGAGGCCCUCAGUGAUAUGCUUUAGUGGUGGUCUUGGCAGUCCUGGGGUAAUGGUUGGACUUGAUGAUCUUAAAGGUCUUUUCCAACCUAGUUGAUUCUAUGGUUCUAUUGUUCUAUGGAAAGAGCACCAAACCUCAGAGUGCUUUCAAAAGCAACCAAAAUUUCCCAAAUCCACAUUAACACCAUAAGCAACUCAUAGCUGAGACAAGCAACCUGCCUCAAGCAAUAGUGACUGGAAAACAUGAAAAGAGCAAUGAAGUUUUACAGCGUCAUCAAAAUAGGAAUUCCUGUGGUUUAAUGAAUAAAAAGGCACUGGUGGCUGAGGUAACUGCCAGUGCAACUACAUUUAAAUCUUUUUGGACUAUGAGUUGAUACACUUUUGGAUGGGUUUUCAAAAGUUUCCUAAUUUGGACUGACAUUUCUUGCACCUCCACAAGCAUUUACAUGACUAAUAACUUGGCCGAAGCGACGAGUUUUCUGCCUGUGAGUCAUAAAAUGAACAUAGUUGAAAAGGGAAGAUAAACAGCCAAAUUGAGACAACUUUGGAAACAUAAGCUUCUCUCACCAAAUAGAAAUAAAAUCAUGAAUUGUGUACGUCAUGUUCAGUAAUAAUAAUAAAAAACCCAACCAAACCAACAAAACUACGUGCAUUUGUUUACACUGGCUUCAUCUGUGAUUAUCCAGUUUAGUAUAACCCAACUACUACUACCACAGCCUGCUUUCUUUUUCCAGGUUGUCUUUAGGCUUCUAGCAAAGCUUACAAAAGCACUGAAGUAGCUUAGGAGCUCAGGACCAAUUUUUAACAAUUAAGGUCAUGUCCAAAUUGCAGGUUGAACUUGAGACAUGGUAGCCUGGAAACCAAAAACAAGCUGACAGCGUGAAGCUCUGGGUCGGUUAAUUUGUAUUGCUAUGAGAGAGGCAGAUUGGGGC
Molecule: long non-coding RNA, 2369 nt
Filed under: Strigops habroptila (Kakapo)
Lineage: Eukaryota; Metazoa; Chordata; Aves; Psittaciformes; Psittacidae
Description: lncRNA (ENSSHBG00005016013.1)
Source: RNAcentral